CCUACGGGAGGCUGCAGUGAGGAAUAUUGGUCAAUGGACGAGAGUCUGAACCAGCCAAGUAGCGUGAAGGAUGACUGCCCUAUGGGUUGUAAACUUCUUUUAUAUGGGAAUAAAAUGCUCCACGUGUGGGAUUUUGUAUGUACCAUAUGAAUAAGGAUCGGCUAACUCCGUGCCAGCAGCCGCGGUAAUACGGAGGAUCCGAGCGUUAUCCGGAUUUAUUGGGUUUAAAGGGAGCGUAGGUGGAUUGUUAAGUCAGUUGUGAAAGUUUGCGGCUCAACCGUAAAAUUGCAGUUGAUACUGGCAGUCUUGAGUACAGUAGAGGUAGGCGGAAUUCGUGGUGUAGCGGUGAAAUGCUUAGAUAUCACGAAGAACUCCGAUUGCGAAGGCAGUUCACUGGACUGCAACUGACGCUGAGGCUCGAAAGUGUGGGUAUCAAACAGGAUUAGAUACCCUAGUAGUC
RNAcentral lists this ribosomal RNA (460 nucleotides) under uncultured bacterium. RNAcentral's name for it is "partial 16S ribosomal RNA". It matches the Rfam family "Bacterial small subunit ribosomal RNA", at positions 338 to 795 of the family's 1533-position model. The record is from RNAcentral.